Molecule: ribosomal RNA, 474 nt
Filed under: Triticum aestivum (bread wheat)
Lineage: Eukaryota; Viridiplantae; Streptophyta; Magnoliopsida; Poales; Poaceae
Description: partial small subunit ribosomal RNA
Source: RNAcentral
AUGGAGUAUCUGGGCCACAUUAUUACUGCUGCAGGAGUAACCACUGAUCCUGCCAAAACUGCUGCUAUGGUGGAUUGGCCUACACCCUCUAAUGUCACAGAAUUGAGAGGAUUCUUGGGACUAACUAGCUACUAUAGGAAGUUUGUCAAGAACUAUGGCAUGCUGGCUAAACCUCUCACUAUUUUGUUGAAGAAACAAGCAUUCCAGUGGACCGAAUCUGCACAAGCUGCCUUUCAGCUUCUGAAACAAGCUAUGGCCACUACACCUGUGUUGGCCUUGCCAGAUUUUAACAAAUCUUUCACAGUGGAAACAGAUGCUUGCAACACUGGGAUAGGUGCAGUACUCACACAGGAGGGACAUCCCAUUGCAUACUACAGCAAGGCCUUGGGUAAAAAUAGUCAGAAAAUUUCCAUUUAUGAAAAAGAAUUCAUGGCCAUAAUGAUGGCUGUGGAUAGAUGGAGAUCAUAUCUGUGA